GAUGAACGCUGGCGGCGUGCCUAAUACAUGCAAGUCGAGCGAACGGACGAGAAGCUUGCUUCUCUGAUGUUAGCGGCGGACGGGUGAGUAACACGUGGAUAACCUACCUAUAAGACUGGGAUAACUUCGGGAAACCGGAGCUAAUACCGGAUAAUAUUUUGAACCGCAUGGUUCAAAAGUGAAAGACGGUCUUGCUGUCACUUAUAGAUGGAUCCGCGCUGCAUUAGCUAGUCGGUAAGGUAACGGCUUACCAAGGCAACGAUGCAUAGCCGACCUGAGAGGGUGAUCGGCCACACUGGAACUGAGAGACGGUCCAGAGUCCUACGGGAGGCCGCAGUAGGGAAGCUUCCGAGAUGGGCGAAAGCCUGACGGAGCAACGCCGCGUGGGUGAUGAAGGUCUUCGGAUCGGAAAACUCUGUUAUGAGGGAAGAACAUAUGUGUAAGGAACUGUGCACUUCGUGACGGUACCUAAUCAGAAAGCAACGGCUAACUACGUG
RNAcentral lists this ribosomal RNA (497 nucleotides) under uncultured bacterium. Its description in RNAcentral is "partial 16S ribosomal RNA". It matches the Rfam family "Bacterial small subunit ribosomal RNA", at positions 28 to 507 of the family's 1533-position model. The record is from RNAcentral.